UACAACUAAAAAGACUAAAAAGAGGACAACCUUUUCGUGCGACAAUCUUCCGUCUCGGUUUCGUCCUGCCUCCUGCGACCGACGCGCAUCCCGCACGGCUCUCUCUUCCGCCAAAUCCCGCACGUCCCUCGCAGAUCCUCCUCGCAUCUCGUAUCCUGCUUCGCAUCCCGUAUCCUGCUCGGAGCACCGCUCCCAAAUCCUCCUCGCCGCCCCCUCCGCCGCCGUGCGCCGGCGAACAGAGCCCCCCUCGCAUAUCCUCCUCGGCCACUCCCGUUUCCUGCAAAUCCUCCGCUCGGCCGCUCCCGUUUCCUGCAAAUCCUCCGCUCCCAAAUCCUCCUCGCCGCCCCUGCUCGGAGCCCCGGCAGGCUUGCUUGGUUCGCCGCCCUGGGAUCGCCGCCGUGCGCCGGCGAGCAGAGCCCCCCUCGCAGAUCCUCCUCGGCCGCUCCCGUAUCCUGCUCGGAAGCGCCUGCGUCUUGCCGGUUGCCGGACGCACCUAUCAACCGCUGGUGACGACGAAUCCAUCCCGACGCUGGUGAGGCCAAAGCCAUCCCGCUCAACCGUUGCUGAUACCAGGAAAUCAGGAAUUACAGAACCAAGCUUUCUCCCAUACAAGGAGUGUUUUGUGAGCAUUGGCUCUAAGAGAUCAGAAUGAGACUUAAAACUAAUACCUGAGGUCUACAAUGUUGUUGAUGCUUCUACCGGAAUCAACAAACACGAGCGACUAGAGCCAAACAGGAAGAGAUUGAUUUCUGAUUGAAACUAAGGAUUAACUUACUGUUUAGUUUGUUCAUAACGGAACCUAUACAAAACAAUGAAGGUCGUACGCCAUUUGCAGACUUGACAAACUCCAUUAAUGGAGGGAAGUGCAUUCAGUCAUCAUUAGUGAUUGUCAUUGAUGUUAGUAGCAGCGCUCUCUGUGGUUUCUUAUUUGAGAUGUGUAGUGCGAAUGCAUCUGAAUAUGAGAUGAGAUGCCAUCGCUGACUCUCGUGCCCAUUGUAAGUGAAAAUUACCCAUGGCAACCAUAUCUAUCUGACAUAGAAACAGAACCAUAAAUUUGAGCGAGUUGAUGAGGGGCAAUGAUGUUGAAGCUUUUCUGAUUUGUAUGCCAUUGAUCAACUGAUUGAGUUUGAAUCUUUGGGGAACUUGCUUGCCCGCACAGGAGGCCAAGUUUGCUAGGAUUUCAAUGUCCAAAUUCUCUAUAGAAUGAAUUUUCCGAACCGAAUGAAUUUCCUCCUACAAGUUACAUAGCAUGGUAAUGAAAUCAAUAUUCGAUGAUGAGCCAGUGCUUAAAACAACUGAUAGAAUGAUGGAGAGGUAAGUGCCCUUCUGUAUUGUCUUUGGUGACUGUCAAUUUUUUUUCUUGACACAAUUGGCAUUGUAGGCUCAUCUUUUUUCUUUUGCUUAAUUUACCAACGAUCAUAAGUUGUGCAGGAACUACAAAUGACCAUAAAUAGGUUACGAUGUAUGCCAUCCCUUCUCCUUUCUCCUUUCUCCUUACCGCAUCAUCUCAGGUUGUAUGCCAUCUGCUCUCCUUUCUCCUGAUCAGGUUGGACCGGGGAUAAUUAAGUUAAUUUCAGAUCCUGUGCAAAAACCCAUUGAUGUGUAUAACUCCACUCAUUUCUUAGUUACCAUAUUGUCAUGAAUGCUUACUAAAUAUAUCAGGAUUUCAGCAUUAGAAGCAUAAGAUAGAUGAAACCGAACACCAUAACUGUGUUGCUCUGAUGAAUACCAAUGCCUCAGUCUAUGCCUAAUUCCCUAUGUUCAAGUUACAUGUAGAAAACCUGUUUUUAAUUCUAUUGAGUUUUAAAAUUGAAUAAUAUCUUAAAAUUUAGAAUAAUUUGUGUGACCAUCAAUGUGUCUACAAGGGACUGCAAACACACUGCUUCCAGCCACAAAGUGAAUGUACAAUUUAUUAACAGAUGUGGCUGAAUAGUUGUGCAGAAAACAUAUUUAGUUAUUUCUAUUUUGCAGAAUCUCAAGCUGCACCAAACCACCGGUAAAAAGCCCGAGCCACAUAGGUAUGUUGGCUCUGUUUGUAGGCUAUUUAAAAGCCAAUUGCAGAGUUAGCAAUAUGAGAAAUGUAUGCCAGUUUCCCAGAAUGGUACAUAAGAAGACUCGCUUAACAGAAAAUGAUUGAGCAACUGAGUAGGGAACUAAUAAGAAAAAAACUUCAAUUUGGCAAGUUCAAUUUGGUAGAUAUCUAUCCGAGCUUGUAGGCAGUAGUUCUAGAUAGCAUUGCAUCAUGGGCAAACCAUAUAGCAAUAAUGAUCAGAAUUGCAUUAGUCAGAGUGCUAUAAAUAUGCAUGUGUUGGAUUAAAUUUUAUCUUUUAAUUUAUGUUAAAUAAAGUAAACUCUAGAUUCCCACAAAUGGAAGAUAUUAUAAUCAUGUAUUGGAGCAAUGCUAUAAAUGCAUAAACAUGCCUAACAAAAUCUACACUCUGAAGAUUUUAGGUAUCCUUUUCUUUAAAGAAAAGCAAGAAAUUUUCUUUAAACGAAAGAAAGAAAGAAAGAAAGAAAGGCAGCAGUGAGUUUACUAAUUAGACUAAUCAGUGAUUGAAACUGUCCCCUGGGAUUAGCAAGAAAGAAAA
Sorghum bicolor (sorghum) is the source of this 2588-nucleotide long non-coding RNA. RefSeq lists it as uncharacterized. NCBI's taxonomy places the organism in Eukaryota, Viridiplantae, Streptophyta, Magnoliopsida, Poales, Poaceae. The transcript is spliced from 5 exons. The record is from RefSeq and is a predicted model, not a curated record.